This is an RNA transcript of Episyrphus balteatus (marmalade hoverfly), 1339 nucleotides long. RefSeq lists it as uncharacterized. The transcript has 3 exons. Lineage: Eukaryota; Metazoa; Arthropoda; Insecta; Diptera; Syrphidae. The record is from RefSeq and is a predicted model, not a curated record.
GUUGAUUGGAAAGCGGCGCCACCCAGCUGUUUUGUUUUUUAUUUUAUAUUUUUCAAAAUACAAUUCAAAAUUCUUGUUUCUUGUUAAAUGUUACCCAUUUGAUAAAGCAUGAUUUAUAUUUUAUAAAAUCAUCCAUCAUUAUUAAUUUAUUUAGCAUUUCUAUGAAUUGUGCUAGCUACUCUAAAACAAUAAAAUUAUUUCAUCAUGGACGACUUCUUAUCCCAACUAGACAUAAAUCCAAAUGCUAAUUUAGAUGAACUUCCAAAGCAAUUCGCUUCUGUGAUGCUAUUCAUGCAAAUUGAUCGACACAUUGAGCCGAAUGCCAAUGAAAUUAGGAUGUUUCUGAGAGCUGCAUUAUUUUUGCAUGGAAACCUAGAAAUUCAUGGACAAACUUUAGAACAAAAACUAAAAGAAUAUCAACAAAUUAAAAAAACAGAACUUAAUUCAAUACUGACGAAAUUCCACGAUGGAAGUCUUCUAGACGAUGUAUGCGAAAGACUUCUCAUGACUGAAACGGGACCUAAUCACAUAUUGGAAAUACAAACAUUUUGUAAUGAUUUCCUUGAUCCAAUUCGAUAUUUGAAUAUAUUGCGUAGAGCUCAAGAUAUUCGAUGUAAGGAGUCGAAUAUUGAUGAGAUUGCUGCGGAGGCUAAAUUCCUAAUCACCACAACCUUUCAAUUAAAAACCCCGCGCGAUAUCGAUACUGCCAUUAAAAGACUUCUAGACAACGUUAAUUUUGAUACUUUAGCUUGGAUAAUCAAUUUCAAUGAACCAAACACUUACUUCUUUAUGAAAUGCUUAAUUAUACAAAAGGAAAUAUGCUCGGGAUUGGAACAUGGAUUGAUUAGUGAAAAUUUCAUAGCUUCCAUGUACGAAGUAAGUUCGCAAGAUGAGACUGGACUAAGUACAUACAUAAAAUGCUUACAAAAUAAAUAUUUUGCAAAUAGCUUGAUGGUAUUUUGCAUAAACUAUCUAACUGCAAUUGGAAAUAGAAGUUUAGAAGUUGAUAAACCGGAUAUUAUGAAACAUGACUUACUUCAUGUGAGUUUUUUAAUAGCUGGAAUGUUAUCGAGUAAGUCGGAGUGCCGAGUGGAGUUUCACAAAAAGCUUGCUGCAAUGUCGGUUAGCGUUAACGUACUUUUAAGUAUAAGUCAUUUGAAUUUUAUUUAUAAUUUUUAAAGCCUUAAGAUGAAUUGACUGCCUGUUGAGCUAUGAAAUAAAUUCGUUUUCAAUAGGAGGAACUGAAACUAAACGACACUUCCAACUUGCAAAUCUUCAACAAAGAACAAAAUCUUCGCUGAUAUUUUCCUGAUGACGGGGUUUAAUGCUUUUUAAAUCG